GGAAGUAAAAGUCGUAACAAGGUAUCCGUAGGUGAACCUGCGGAUGGAUCAUUACCAAUUUUUUAUUAUUAGUUGUAUGAUCACCGCGUCAGCGGUGUGAGUACCAACUAUUAAUGUAAACGUUGAACUAGAUCAUCAGUGCGUGGAUUUGUUUGCUCUCGAGCGGACAGUCCCCACACUGAUACCCUUUUCAUAAUAUACUACUCGUAUAUACUACAAACAAACAAAACAAAAGCUAUAAUAGGACUUAUAUAUAGGCUGAGUGGGUAACAUCCUCAGUCUUUAAACUAAUAACUAUUACAACUUUCAGCAAUGGAUCUCUAGGCUCUCGCAUCGAUGAAGAACGCAGCGAAUUGCGAAACGUAAUGUGACUUGCAAGUCUCGUGAAUCAUCGAAUCUUUGAACGCAUCUUGCACUAUUCGGCUUCCCCGGAUAGUAUGCCUGGUUGAGUGUCUGUGUAUCUCUCCUAUACCAACGUUUGUUGGAAUCUAUAGGGACUUGGGGUCUUUCUCGUCGGAAAUAAUUCAUUAUUCCCGGUGAACCCUUUAAAUGUAGUAAGCUCCCAUCUAUUUCAUUAUCGGAAAUACGUAAACUUGGGGAUGGCGUCGUAGCAAUCACUUUAUUGUAUUGUCGAAGCGCCUAUACAUACCUCUAAUCUACGGUGCUAAUCCUUUAUUAGACUGGGCGAAGCUUAACGACUGGCAAAGUGCCAUGCUCCAUUUAUACGGAGUACACGAACAAUAAUGACCUCAACUCAGGUAGGACAACCCGCUGGACUUAAGCAUAUCAAUAAGCGGAGGA
RNAcentral lists this ribosomal RNA (801 nucleotides) under Ramicandelaber longisporus. RNAcentral's name for it is "eukaryotic LSU rRNA". The stretch from base 302 to 455 matches the Rfam family "5.8S ribosomal RNA". Lineage: Eukaryota; Fungi; Kickxellomycota; Ramicandelaberales; Ramicandelaberaceae. The record is from RNAcentral.